CUUGUAAAUCUGCUUGUAGUAUCACUUCUAGAAACAACCAAUUGGAAAAGAAACACUUUUUUUCCAAAAGCCCAUCUCUUCAUUCUACAAAACCCAGAUAUAAAACAUUCACUAGUCACUGUAUCAAUGGUCACUCAUUCCCCUCUUUCACAGCAACAUCCCUCCUUGUAGUUAUCCGUGUCUGUUGAAACUCCAUCUUUUUGGCAACCUUGCUUUCUCUUCGAGGUUAGCCUGGGUCCCCCUUUGAUCUGCAUAUAUCUUUAUUAUAUAGCAUUUUCUUUCUCUUGCAAUAUUUGUGGGAAGUUUUCCUUCAAGUCCCAACUAUUAUGGCAUCCCACAUUUUUCUCUUCUUUUUUCCUUCUAUUUUCUUUGUUGAUAACUAGUAUAUUGCAGACUUGUACACGAGGAGCAGCUCCUCCAUUUGGGCUAUAGAUGUUAAAGGCAGCAGAGUGAAACAGGAUUCCCCCGUUGUCCUCAAGGAACGAAAUCAUCCUUCGGGCCUUCUGAUUCUCAAAUGUGAUGUUUUGGUUCUUUGCUGUCUGGAUGAUAUAUGCAGACCCUUGAGUGAAAUAACCUUGUUUGGAUCUGGAAUACCACAGUGCUGCUGCUCCUAAUAGGUUGGUUCGAUGAUUUUAUGUGACAAACUUAAAGAUUUCAAGAUCAGGUGUCUUCAACAGGCUUCAUGAAAUAGCAGAGAAUCAGUCGCAAGGCUGAUGGAUAAGCACUACUGCAGCUGAACCAUUCAUUUGCAACAUUAUAUCCCAGAAGGCAUUGUAACAGGUGGUGGGGUCCGCUGAUCUGAGAAUAUGAACUUUGAUUGGUCCCCUAUGUUGAACAAUUGAAGGGUGCGGUGCUGACUUUUUUCUAUGCUUGUUGGUUAGUAGUUGUGGAAAUGUUGUAAGCAGCACUGAGUAGUGUACAUGUGUGUCAUGUUAUCUAGCAAUGGGGAGAUGCUAAUCUCACAUUGUAUAAGAAAUGUGCCCACUUGUGCUUUGAAUGGUUGAGAUGAACAUGGGGUUCGUGUUUCUUUACUCUGUUGAUGGCCCAUGUGACCAAUCCAAGCUUGUCCGCGCCUUUAUUCUUACAAGUGUGAGAUCAGCAGGCUUCUACUAAUCACACGCUUUCAUCCUCAAGCUCAAUUAUGUUUGUAUAUAAUGGUCAAUUGAAA
Magnolia sinica is the source of this 1168-nucleotide long non-coding RNA. RefSeq lists it as uncharacterized. NCBI's taxonomy places the organism in Eukaryota, Viridiplantae, Streptophyta, Magnoliopsida, Magnoliales, Magnoliaceae. The transcript has 2 exons. The record is from RefSeq and is a predicted model, not a curated record.